AGGGAGGAGCUCCCAACCGCCGCGGCCGGGCUGCUCGAGGACAUGGCCCCGCCCCAACCGGUGCUUAGUGACGCUCCGGCGGCUGGCGGUGCGGAUGUGGUGGUGUUCGGAACAAGCACAGGAUCGGCUCUCCUGUGCGACCCCAGCAGAGGACAGAUGAAGAACAGUGGUUCAGGGUGAGCUUAACCACUGCAGCGGCUCUGCCAGUAAGGACCACCAGGAGCAGUUUGCUUUCAUCUGACAAAGCCAGCAGUACACCUCCGCUUCCUAGCUCAGCAGAGAGCCAGCUCUCCAGCCCCAUGUCAUCCUUUAGCCCACAGGGAGCUCCUCUCCUUUCCCUCCCACAAGGUACCUCUCUGCUCCAUUACGUGGUGCGUUAUGUAGAGUGGACUGAGUCAUCGACAAGUAGAGACUCCGCUGGACUCGUUAGUAAGGCAGGUCAGAGGAUGGGAAAUAAAUUUGACAAAACUUCGAGGCCCCCAACCUCAGUGAAAUUUCUGUGGCUCCUGCAGGCUGGGGUCAAGAUAUCCCUUCUGAGAUACAGAAACAGGUGUUGCCUCUGACCCCUCCUACAACCCAGAGAAGGGGGCAGUGCCUAGUGGACCUCUUUGGGUUCUGGAGAUAAUAUAUUCCAUAAUUGGGCGUGUUACUCUGACCUAUUUACCAAGUCACCAAAAAAGCAACUAGUUUUCUGCCGGGCACUGUGGCAUACACCUGUAACCCAGCAGCUCAGGAGGUUGAGACAGGAGGAUAGAGAGU
Ictidomys tridecemlineatus (thirteen-lined ground squirrel) is the source of this 759-nucleotide non-coding RNA. The record is from RefSeq and is a predicted model, not a curated record. Lineage: Eukaryota; Metazoa; Chordata; Mammalia; Rodentia; Sciuridae.